AUGUAUGCUCGAUAGACUUGUUUUAUAGUGGCUCUAUAAUCAUUUUUCAAAAUCAUUUUUAGUUUACAUAAAGGUUGUUUAUCUACUGAAGCAGUUAAAUAACUCGAAUUAGAAUGUAUAUGCAUCGGAGAAUAGGCUAAAGACACUUUGAGUAUAUUUAGUUUAGAAACCCUAAAUUGUUUCCAGAAGUGAAAAUUGAAGACUACUUCAAACAAUGAAAAUAUCUUCCAUAAAGUAGUCUUCUAUUUCAUGAAAAUUAAAGCUUGGAUUCAAGCUUUAAUUUUUGCAUCUUUUUCAUCAUUUACCAAAUGAAUGAGAAUCUUAAUAAAACAGUUUUUACAAUCUCAAUUUUAAAUUGAAUUUAUUGAAUGACAAAGUACAGCAUUAAAGAUAUUCACUUCAAGCUUAUGUUUGUGGAACUCAUUGAAAAAAACUGCAUUUCCAGGUUCAUAGCGAUUUUGCUAUCACCAUUUGCUUCGCAAAUAAUACUGUUUCAUUACUAAAACGAGUCUUCUGCUUAUCAUAAGUCUAUAUUUUGGUUAAAGCUAAAGCAACUGCUUUAUAGCAAUAGUUAUUUUUCGUGGUUGUUUUGCAAUUAAUUUUGUAGCGGCAGUCUGAGCUGAACGUCUGGUUCCCGAAAGCUUAUAAUGCAAGAUCUUCUGUCAAGCGGAACUGCAGCCGUAAACAAAAAGAUCUUACAUUUUUAUUUAUUUAAUAAAGUAAAUAAUAAAAUUUUAACAUAAAAAGUUCAGUAUUGAUGAAGGAAAGCAACACCAGUCGUUUAUAUGCUGACAAUUGAUAUUGCUGCAGCCGAAGUAACAUCAUAAAAAUUCUUUCAAAAUAGUUAACUGUUGGUACAUUAAUUGCACCCUGCGCUAUUUUAUUCCAACUUUUUGCAACAUGGUUUUUAAAAAAGUGGUGACGUACUGGCAAUCUUUGAUUAGUUGAGGUUCUAAACAUGUCAUUUUUUUAAUUAUAAACUGAGUUUGAUGAAAAAGCUUAAACGGACCUACAUUUUUUAACUUGAUUUUAAACAUCCUUCUAAGUUCUUCAACAGCGCUUUUCUCUGGCCUGAUGGUUAUUAACUAAAACUUUUUGGAAAUACAAACAAAGCAAGAUAAUUAUUACUCACAUCAUCAAAUACAACUGCUGCUUUGUCUGUAGCGUCUGUACCUUCAUGUUCGUCAGCAUAGAGGGGCCUGGUGUAGCACCUCUUCAUCAAAUUAUAAAUGGAUUAUUGUAUUUGUAUUUGAUCACUGAAAUAAAUAAUAAUCAUAAUUAUAAA
This is a long non-coding RNA of Hydra vulgaris (swiftwater hydra), 1285 nucleotides long. RefSeq lists it as uncharacterized. NCBI's taxonomy places the organism in Eukaryota, Metazoa, Cnidaria, Hydrozoa, Anthoathecata, Hydridae. The record is from RefSeq and is a predicted model, not a curated record.